AUACAUGCAGUCGAGCGGACAGAUGGGAGCUUGCUCCCUGAUGUUAGCGGCGGACGGGUGAGUAACACGUGGGUAACCUGCCUGUAAGACUGGGAUAACUCCGGGAAACCGGGGCUAAUACCGGAUGGUUGUUUGAACCGCAUGGUUCAAACAUAAAAGGUGGCUUCGGCUACCACUUACAGAUGGACCCGCGGCGCAUUAGCUAGUUGGUGAGGUAACGGCUCACCAAGGCAACGAUGCGUAGCCGACCUGAGAGGGUGAUCGGCCACACUGGGACUGAGACACGGCCCAGACUCCUACGGGAGGCAGCAGUAGGGAAUCUUCCGCAAUGGACGAAAGUCUGACGGAGCAACGCCGCGUGAGUGAUGAAGGUUUUCGGAUCGUAAAGCUCUGUUGUUAGGGAAGAACAAGUACCGUUCGAAUAGGGCGGUACCUUGACGGUACCUAACCAGAAAGCCACGGCUAACUACGUGCCAGCAGCCGCGGUAAUACGUAGGUGGCAAGCGUUGUCCGGAAUUAUUGGGCGUAAAGGGCUCGCAGGCGGUUUCUUAAGUCUGAUGUGAAA
This 565-nucleotide ribosomal RNA is filed under the name Bacillus subtilis. RNAcentral's name for it is "bacterial SSU rRNA". It matches the Rfam family "Bacterial small subunit ribosomal RNA", at positions 51 to 599 of the family's 1533-position model. Lineage: Bacteria; Bacillati; Bacillota; Bacilli; Caryophanales; Bacillaceae. The record is from RNAcentral.